RNAcentral lists this transfer RNA (66 nucleotides) under Enicmus brevicornis. RNAcentral's name for it is "tRNA-Phe". Lineage: Eukaryota; Metazoa; Arthropoda; Insecta; Coleoptera; Latridiidae. The record is from RNAcentral.
AUUUAAAUAGCUUAUUUUUAGAGCAUAAUAUUGAAGAUAUUAAGGAAGUAUAAAUACUUUUAAAUA